Dermacentor andersoni is the source of this 1452-nucleotide long non-coding RNA. RefSeq lists it as uncharacterized. The record is from RefSeq and is a predicted model, not a curated record. NCBI's taxonomy places the organism in Eukaryota, Metazoa, Arthropoda, Arachnida, Ixodida, Ixodidae.
GCCACCUUGUUUGCACCGGGCCCGGUUCAUCCUCUUGUUUCUCUUUUUCUUCUCGCGCUUUCUCGUCCUCGUGCACCGGACUACUUUCUCUAACUGCAAGGCCACCCCGAAAACACGCACUUUCACUCGGCUGAUCGAAUGCCCCCACCGCGAUUGGGGCCCCGGCACGAAGAAACCACCGUACAGGCAGAGACCGCUCGCGAGCUCGACGCCGGACGCCGGCGAGAUAGCCGGCCGCCUUCCCGGCCGCCGUGUUCCGGCCCCAACCUUUCCUCGUCGCUUUGCACGCGUCCGUUAUCGAAAACUGCAGCCGUGGGUCGUUCUCCCACCGGCAGUGGGAACGCCAUCGCGGGAUGCGGGACACGGAGGCUCGCCGGUCACAGCCAGGAGACGACGAGGACGAUGGAUAGCCGCCGAGGCAAGAAGUAGUAGCCGCCGAGAGGCGACCAGACCUACGCACGGUCUUCCGCGUCCAUUCAAGCCUGCACACAACACUGCGACCUCACUAAGAAAACAAGAAAGAACGAGAAUGUCUUGAAGGCAUGGAUAACGGCGGGACCAUCGUGUGCAGACAAAACCAACGGCCGACUCUCCCGCUUCAAAGAACCAGGCAGCAGAUAAGCGAGUUGAAGCUGUCGUCAAACAACGCAGACAGGGGGUCAAGCGUUGGGUCUGCGAGCACAGGGACCGGGCCUAGUGAGGAGGAGGUGCGCCCGGGCUGCGAGCCGGAGCGGAGGAGAGGUGACCCCGAGCCGUGGCGUCGUCGUCGUCUCCCGGCCCGGGCCCACAGCCGCCGGGGCGAGAAAGAUAAUGUCAAGGUUCAGAGCGGCGUCCUGCUGCACGGAGGCAGAGCGCACGCCCGCGCGCUCCCUCGCAGAACACUUCAAGCGUCACAGGAACCUGUGUCCAGGGGAAGAGGACACUCACAUAGCGAAUCAGCCCGUAGUCGGCGCAGAAGAAUCGGAGCCCACUGCGGAAAACGAAAAGUCAGCAGGUCAAAUGCCUCAAGCCAUGCAGCGUCCGUAUAUAUAGCGGUGCGGCGGAAAUGCCCUUUUAAUCACCGACGUGGUUACGCGGCCCAGCGGCGUAUCGCAUCUCCCACUGCCAUGAUUAAGUCAACACGCACUGACUGGAACCAUCUUUCCGUUUCCAUCGCUUCAACCGUAGACCCGGCCUGAAUCCUUCAAAGUUGCGAUUAAGAAUUUAUUGUUAGACCACUCCUCUUUGUAAUGCCCUCGAACUUUGGGAGUAUGAAAAUGAAUGUAUGAAUAAAUAAAUAAAUAAAUAAAUAAAUAAAUAAAUAAAUAAAUAAAUAAAUAAAUAAAUAGCGUGUUAUCAGAUGUUGCUACCCGUCGCCCUCUCAACGUGCCCACAGUGCAUGGUACAUGACCAUGACUGCAUUCCGUCGCCAUCAAUAUGCGGCCGCAGUGGCCGGGACCGACGCCACAACCA